This 179-nucleotide ribosomal RNA is filed under the name uncultured bacterium. Its description in RNAcentral is "partial 16S ribosomal RNA". It matches the Rfam family "Bacterial small subunit ribosomal RNA", at positions 1322 to 1500 of the family's 1533-position model. The record is from RNAcentral.
GAAGUCGGAAUUGCUAGUAAUCGCGGAUCAGCAUGCCGCGGUGAAUACGUUCCCGGGCCUUGUACACACCGCCCGUCACACCAUGAGAGCCGGUAACACCCGAAGUCAGUAGCCUAACCGCAAGGGGGGCGCUGCCGAAGGUGGGAUUGGUAAUUGGGGCGAAGUCGUAACAAGGUAUC